RNAcentral lists this transfer RNA (74 nucleotides) under Rhodocyclaceae bacterium. Its description in RNAcentral is "tRNA-Glu". It matches the Rfam family "tRNA". Rfam says of the family: Transfer RNA (tRNA) molecules are approximately 80 nucleotides in length. Their secondary structure includes four short double-helical elements and three loops (D, anti-codon, and T loops). Lineage: Bacteria; Pseudomonadati; Pseudomonadota; Betaproteobacteria; Rhodocyclales; Rhodocyclaceae. The record is from RNAcentral.
GCCGGGGUGGUCUAGUGGGAGGACGCCGCGCCCUCAACGCGGUAGCUAGGGUUCGAGUCCCUACCUCGGUACCG